This 253-nucleotide ribosomal RNA is filed under the name uncultured bacterium. Its description in RNAcentral is "partial 16S ribosomal RNA". It matches the Rfam family "Bacterial small subunit ribosomal RNA", at positions 524 to 776 of the family's 1533-position model. The record is from RNAcentral.
UACGGGGGGGGCAAGCGUUGUUCGGAAUUACUGGGCGUAAAGGGCUUGUAGGUGGCCAACUAAGUCAGACGUGAAAUCCCUCGGCUUAACCGGGGAACUGCGUCUGAUACUGGAAGGCUUGAAUCCGGGAGAGGGAUGUGGAAUUCCAGGUGUAGCGGUGAAAUGCGUAGAUAUCUGGAGGAACACCGGUGGCGAAGGCGGCAUCCUGGACCGGUAUUGACGCUGAGGCGCGAAAGCUAGGGGAGCAAACGGG